GUAAACGUUGGGCACUAGGUGUGGGGGGCCUUUCCGGGUUUUCUGCGCCGUAGCUAACGCAUUAAGUGCCCCGCCUGGGGAGUACGGCCGCAAGGCUAAAACUCAAAGGAAUUGACGGGGGCCCGCACAAGCGGCGGAGCAUGCGGAUUAAUUCGAUGCAACGCGAAGAACCUUACCAAGGCUUGACAUACACCGGAAUUAUGCAGAGAUGUGUAAGCCCUUGUGGCUGGUGUACAGGUGGUGCAUGGUUGUCGUCAGCUCGUGUCGUGAGAUGUUGGGUUAAGUCCCGCAACGAGCGCAACCCUUGUCUCGUGUUGCCAGCAUUUGGUUGGGGACUCACGAGAGACUGCCGGGGUUAACUCGGAGGAAGGUGGGGAUGACGUCAAAUCAUCAUGCCCCUUAUGUCUUGGGCUUCACGCAUGCUACAAUGGCCGGUACAGAGGGUGGCGAUACUGUAAGGUGGAGCGAAUCCUUAAAGCUGGUCUCAGUUCGGAU
This 495-nucleotide ribosomal RNA is filed under the name uncultured bacterium. RNAcentral's name for it is "bacterial SSU rRNA". It matches the Rfam family "Bacterial small subunit ribosomal RNA", at positions 802 to 1298 of the family's 1533-position model. The record is from RNAcentral.